UCUCCAGUUUCCCCCAUUGUAAAAAUAAUGUGAGAUGCCUUGGAACAUUCUGGUGACUAAUAAUGAUGUACAAUGGAAAUGACAUUUCAUUACUUAGAUAAAAUGGAUUCAGUGGACUGAUUAGCAUAAAUAACUAUGAUGGAAAACCUUUGAAGGCAGGCAGGAUAGCAGCUCUUGAAGGAAGAUGGUCAAAUAAAUCUUCAACCAAGUCUGAGGCUUUACCAAGAAAUUAAGAAGGUUCUUCUGUGAUAUGUUUUCAUGGUGUGGGAAUAAGACUUGGUGGUCUAAUACAGCUAAUACAAAGGUUAGCAUCACAGCUUGUCUGUAAGGAUUGAAGCUGGGAGUGGGCAUUGGAGCGGACUUUUAUGAUAACUGUGGCUGCAUAAGAUGGUAGUGUUAUAUAACUGCAACAGUAAAGAAUGUAAUUCAGACUAUUUUUGGGUAUGCUCGAAAAAAUGUUUAUAA
Molecule: long non-coding RNA, 465 nt
Organism: Mytilus trossulus (common blue mussel)
Lineage: Eukaryota; Metazoa; Mollusca; Bivalvia; Mytilida; Mytilidae
Exons: 4
Source: RefSeq, a predicted model, not a curated record